ACAAAUGAAUCAAAACUUUCAACAACGGAUCUCUUGGCUCUGGCAUCGAUGAAGAACGCAGCGAAAUGCGAUAAGUAAUGUGAAUUGCAGAAUUCAGUGAAUCAUCGAAUCUUUGAACGCACAUUGCGCCCGCCAGCAUUCUGGCGGGCAUGCCUGUUCGAGCGUCAUUUCAACCCU
This 177-nucleotide ribosomal RNA is filed under the name Cordyceps militaris. Its description in RNAcentral is "5.8S ribosomal RNA". The stretch from base 14 to 167 matches the Rfam family "5.8S ribosomal RNA". From Rfam's summary of the family: 5.8S ribosomal RNA (5.8S rRNA) is a component of the large subunit of the eukaryotic ribosome. It is transcribed by RNA polymerase I as part of the 45S precursor that also contains 18S and 28S rRNA. The record is from RNAcentral. Lineage: Eukaryota; Fungi; Ascomycota; Sordariomycetes; Hypocreales; Cordycipitaceae.